AUUCACUCUUCCUCCCCGCCUCUCCGCCUGAUGAGAAACAGAAUGUGCUCCCUCCCCCCUGGGAGGCUUCAGAUUCAUUUUCUGCUCAGACACCGUUGCUUGCAAAAUUCCACCCAGAAGAUAAGGGAGGGAGUAUCGCUGCAGCGUCCUGCUCUGUGCCUGGUUAUAUUACUGGAUCCUUGUGUUGCAGCCCUAAGAUAGAAGGAUUGUCUCCAUUUCACAGAUGAGAGAGAACUGAUGCGCAGGAGGCUGAAAUUGUCUGAAGUCACACAGCAGCCUCCUCUUAAACAUGACAAAGAAUCCAAGGACUUGUGCUGGGGCUGUCAGCUGCUAUUCUGGUGCCCUGGGGACGAAGAAGGGAUCUGGAGGGAAGACUGUCACCCUCUUGCGAAUGUUUCCAAGAAGCAGCUCAGCAUGGGAGAGAAAAGGGGAGAUCCCAGUUCCAGGAACACCUGGCCAGUGUUUCACCUGUUUAUCGGAGUUGACAGGACCAGCCAGCCCUUUCCCACCUCUCCCCAUCAUGAUGGAUGGGAGCCUGGCCUUUGAGAAAGCACAGAACGUGGCACGUUGGAGGAAAUCAAAAGAAAUCUCGCCAUUGCCGGGAAUGGGUAAAUCACUCAGGCCGCGUGGGUCCUUGGCAGAUGGCAGAGGCGGCUUCCCAGUCC
RNAcentral lists this long non-coding RNA (665 nucleotides) under Homo sapiens (human). RNAcentral's name for it is "HSALNT0317305". Lineage: Eukaryota; Metazoa; Chordata; Mammalia; Primates; Hominidae. The record is from RNAcentral.